This 429-nucleotide ribosomal RNA is filed under the name uncultured bacterium. RNAcentral describes it as "bacterial SSU rRNA". It matches the Rfam family "Bacterial small subunit ribosomal RNA", at positions 355 to 776 of the family's 1533-position model. The record is from RNAcentral.
UUAGGAAUAUUCGUCAAUGGGGGAAACCCUGAACGAGCAAUGCCGCGUGAGUGAUGAAGGCCCUAUGGGUUGUAAAACUCUGUUGUUUGGGAAGAAUUGCAAGAGUAGGAAAUGCCUCUUGCUUGACGGUACCAUUCAAGAAAGCCACGGCUAACUACGUGCCAGCAGCCGCGGUAAUACGUAGGUGGCGAGCGUUAUCCGGAUUUAUUGGGCGUAAAGGGUGCGCAGGCGGUUUAUUAAGUCUAAAAUAAAAGCCCGAAGCUUAACUUCGGUUCGUUUUAGAAACUGAUAGACUUGAGUAUGGUAGAGGCAAAUGGAAUUCCUAGUGUAGCGGUGGAAUGCGUAGAUAUUAGGAGGAACACCAGUGGCGAAGGCGAUUUGCUGGGCCAUUACUGACGCUCAUGCACGAAAGCGUGGGGAGCAAAUAGG